GAUGAACGCUGGCGGCGUGCCUAAUACAUGCAAGUCGAACGCUGGAAAUCUAGCUUGCUAGAUUGAAGGAGUGGCGAACGGGUGAGUAAUACAUAAGCAACCUACCCACGAAGACUGGGAUAAUCUCUGGAAACGGGGACUAAUACCGGAUAGGUAAUCGGAAGGCCUCUUCUGAUUAUUAAAGGUUAAAAACACUGGUGGAUGGGCUUAUGGCGCAUUAGUUAGUUGGUGAGGUAACGGCCCACCAAGACGAUGAUGCGUAGCCGGCCUGAGAGGGUGAACGGCCACAUUGGGACUGAGACACGGCCCAGACUCCUACGGGAGGCAGCAGUAGGGAAGGUUCGGCAAUGGGGGAAACCCUAACCGAGCAACGCCGCGUGAGUGAUGACGGCCUUCGGGUUGUAAAGCUCUGUUGUAAGGGAAGAACGGUAGAUAGAGAAUAUCUAAAUGACGGUACCUUACCAGAAAGCCACGGCUAACUACGUG
RNAcentral lists this ribosomal RNA (486 nucleotides) under uncultured bacterium. Its description in RNAcentral is "partial 16S ribosomal RNA". It matches the Rfam family "Bacterial small subunit ribosomal RNA", at positions 28 to 507 of the family's 1533-position model. The record is from RNAcentral.